GUGAGGAAUAUUGGUCAAUGGACGCGAGUCUGAACCAGCCAAGUAGCGUGAAGGAUGACUGCCCUAUGGGUUGUAAACUUCUUUUAUAAGGGAAUAAAGUGAGGGACGUGUCCCUUUUUGUAUGUACCUUAUGAAUAAGGAUCGGCUAACUCCGUGCCAGCAGCCGCGGUAAUACGGAGGAUCCGAGCGUUAUCCGGAUUUAUUGGGUUUAAAGGGAGCGUAGGUUGACGUAUAAGUCAGCUGUGAAAGUUUACGGCUCAACCGUGAAAUUGCAGUUGAUACUGUAUGUCUUGAGUGUACAAGAGGUGGGCGGAAUUCGUGGUGUAGCGGUGAAAUGCUUAGAUAUCACGAAGAACUCCAAUUGCGAAGGCAGCUCACUGGGGUACAACUGACACUGAGGCUCGAAAGUGUGGGUAUCAAACAGGAUUAGAUACCCGGGUAGUCC
This 445-nucleotide ribosomal RNA is filed under the name uncultured bacterium. RNAcentral describes it as "partial 16S ribosomal RNA". It matches the Rfam family "Bacterial small subunit ribosomal RNA", at positions 354 to 796 of the family's 1533-position model. The record is from RNAcentral.